RNAcentral lists this unclassified non-coding RNA (387 nucleotides) under soil metagenome. RNAcentral's name for it is "partial contains 5.8S ribosomal RNA, internal transcribed spacer 2, and large subunit ribosomal RNA". The stretch from base 1 to 120 matches the Rfam family "5.8S ribosomal RNA", at positions 35 to 154 of the family's 154-position model. The record is from RNAcentral.
GAUGAAGAACGCAGCGAAAUGCGAUAAGUAAUGUGAAUUGCAGAAUUCAGUGAAUCAUCGAAUCUUUGAACGCACCUUGCACCCUUUGGUAUUCCGAAGGGUAUGCUCGUUUGAGUGUCAUUGUACUCUCACACUUCUAAUUCCUUUCGGGAUUGGGAGCGGUGGACUUGGGUGUUGCUGCUUUAGUUGUGGCUCACCUCAAAUAAGUUAGUGCAACUCUUGGUUGGACAUAGUACGGCGUGAUAAGUGUCAUCGCCGGCGCCUCUGUAAGGAGGGUGGCCGAUCGGGAGCUCUGUGCUUCAAACCGUCUUCGGACAAUCUUUGACAACUUGACCUCAAAUCGAGUAGGACUACCCGCUGAACUUAAGCAUAUCAAUAAGCGGAGGA